ACGGAGGGGGCUAGCGUUGUUCGGAAUUACUGGGCGUAAAGCGCGCGUAGGCGGUCGGCAUAGUUAGGUGUGAAAGCCCUGGGCUCAACCCAGGAACUGCACUUGAUACUGGUCGACUAGAGUUCGGAAGAGGAGAGUGGAAUUCCCAGUGUAGAGGUGAAAUUCGUAGAUAUUGGGAAGAACACCAGUGGCGAAGGCGGCUCUCUGGUCCGAUACUGACGCUGAGGCGCGAAAGCGUGGGGAGCAAACAGG
This 252-nucleotide ribosomal RNA is filed under the name uncultured bacterium. RNAcentral describes it as "partial 16S ribosomal RNA". It matches the Rfam family "Bacterial small subunit ribosomal RNA", at positions 525 to 776 of the family's 1533-position model. The record is from RNAcentral.